GAUGAACGCUGGCGGCGUGCCUAAUACAUGCAAGUCGAGCGAACAGAUGAGGAGCUUGCUCCUCUGACGUUAGCGGCGGACGGGUGAGUAACACGUGGAUAACCUACCUAUAAGACUGGGAUAACUUCGGGAAACCGGAGCUAAUACCGGAUAAUAUAUUGAACCGCAUGGUUCAAUAGUGAAAGACGGUUUUGCUGUCACUUAUAGAUGGAUCCGCGCCGCAUUAGCUAGUUGGUAAGGUAACGGCUUACCAAGGCAACGAUGCGUAGCCGACCUGAGAGGGUGAUCGGCCACACUGGAACUGAGACACGGUCCAGACUCCUACGGGAGGCAGCAGUAGGGAAUCUUCCGCAGUGGGCGAAAGCCUGACGGAGCAACGCCGCGUGAGUGAUGAAGGUCUUCGGAUCGUAAAACUCUGCUAUUAGGGAAGAACAAAUGUGUAAGUAACUAUGCACGUCUUGACGGUACCUAAUCAGAAAGCCACGGCUAACUACGU
Molecule: ribosomal RNA, 496 nt
Filed under: uncultured bacterium
Lineage: Bacteria
Description: partial 16S ribosomal RNA
Rfam family: Bacterial small subunit ribosomal RNA
Source: RNAcentral